ACCACAGUAGACAAGCAGAAGUUACCUUGCUCCUAGAAGAAAGAGAAAGGACACUCCAAGAUGAAAACUGUGGGGCCGAGACACGUCGAAGUGUAAAGAGCAGCUCUGUGCUGCUGAAGGACGAUUGCCGGGCAUAGCCUCACGCUUGGGAGCUGCCUAGUGACAAGCUGUGUGGAGGGCUGAGCGUGUACCCAGAGCUGGCCCUGUCUUUUAAACUGACUGCUUCCUGGAAGCUCUCUCAGCUGAGACAUUCUGGGAUCCCAAGAGAGUAUGCUGAUCUCUUCAUUAUCUCAGAAUCGAACUGAGAACUGGAACAAGGAUAACAGAGGUGAGGGGCCACAUUCCACUCUCCAUUUCCUGUGAAGCUGCAUUUGUUGACUGAGACAGCAGGCAAGCGCCUGGCCAGCAGUGAAUGACCAUGGUGGCAUAGCCUGGCUUCAAGGCAGUACAAUAAGGGGUCACAUCAUAGAGAUCACUAAACCCAUGAAAGAUGAAUUACGAAAA
Bos taurus (domestic cattle) is the source of this 504-nucleotide long non-coding RNA. The record is from Ensembl. Lineage: Eukaryota; Metazoa; Chordata; Mammalia; Artiodactyla; Bovidae.